Non-coding RNA from Malus domestica (apple), 3574 nucleotides. The record is from RefSeq and is a predicted model, not a curated record. NCBI's taxonomy places the organism in Eukaryota, Viridiplantae, Streptophyta, Magnoliopsida, Rosales, Rosaceae.
ACCUAGCACUAUCUCACUCAAGCGAAAAUCCUUUCACUCCGGAGUUUUUUUUUUUUAUAUUUUUUUUACGAAAAUCCCUUCUAAUUCUCUCUCAUUUGCCAUUUAUUCACUCAGAAAUCAGUAGCUGCUGUUCUGAGCACAUUGGUGUCUCACUCUCUCUGCGGCUUUCUGCCAUUUUUAUACAGAAAACUCUGCUACCUCCCAGGUGAUGUAGCUGCAAGCUUACACAUCGUCUGUGAGUUCUGAAUUUUCUGCGCUUUUUUUGCUCCACUCCCAAAAGGCAAAGGGUUUUUCUUGAAUAAUGUAAUCUCGAGUAAAGUUUUCUUCUUUGUUACUUUCGCUAUUUGGUUGCCCAUUUGCUCAAAGGGGUUCUAAAUUAUCUGUAAUUUCAGUCAUGGGAUUUCGCUAAUCUUGCUGCAUAGACUUCCUUUGUCCAGUUUUUUUUUUUCCAAAUUUCGAGUCUUUUGUUUUGUUCUAUCGUAAAAAAGAAGCAUUUUCUUGUGUUUUGUGAGUGCCCAUUUGCUUAAAAUUGUUCUAAACUAUCCCAAAUGCUGUUUACAAUGAUGGGUUUUCGCUAAUUUGCUUGUUCUUGCUGUGAAACCCUCAAAGUCUGGAACUUGAUUGCGAUUUUCGCCAGUUAAAGCUCGCAAAUUUGUACCAAAUGUCUGGUAUUUUAGCAUUUACAUGCACCUGGUAACAGUUAGGUGCCUUUUCUGAUAAGCGAAGGGAUGGAUCUCAGCUUUGUCCAAGUGUACCGCUAGUAGCGUGACUUGAGCACAUGGGAAGUGCUAGCUCAUUUCGUUAAUUUUCAAACUUCCUGAUUGAUUCACAGUGAAUUUGAUUCGCUAAUCCUUGGCUCGUGCAAGAUAUGGAAUCUAAGUAGCUCAAUUUGCCAACUGGUUCUUUUGUUCUCAUAGAAAUAUAUACCACAUUCUUUAUUGAUUCCUUGAAAUGUAAAUUUCACACUUCCUGUAUCUGUUCAUUCAUAUAUAGACCUCAUUAAGGGUCCAUCAUACUGCAACAAUCCAAUGACUCAACACUUUUCUUUCCCGCUUGUUUUUCACCUUCAAAACUCUAUGAUGGUCAAGAAAUCUUUCUCUGUCUGCCCGUAAUAUCGUACGUUUAUAUAUACAUCCUAAAGCAAGAACUAGAAAAGUUUACUUUCUCUUCUUGUUUCCAAAGUAUUGGACUUAUUAUGGAAGAAACAUUUGUUCCCUUUCGCGGGAUAAAGAAUGACCUCAAGGGGAGACUUCUGUGCUACAAACAGGAUUGGACUGGUGGUUUACGCGCGGGAAUCAGGAUCUUGGCGCCAACAACAUACAUAUUCUUUGCUUCAGCAAUUCCAGUUAUCUCCUUUGGGGAACAGCUCGAAAGAAAUACAAAUGGAAGCUUGACUGCUGUACAGACUCUUGCAUCCACAUCACUUUGUGGCAUUAUCCACUCAAUUGUUGGAGGACAGCCCCUGCUUAUACUAGGGGUGGCUGAGCCAACGGUAUUGAUGUAUACAUUUAUGUUCAACUUUGCUAAGGACCAGAAGGAUUUGGGGCAGGAACUCUUCUUAGCCUGGACUGGAUGGGUAUGUAUGUGGACAGCCCUUUUGCUAUUCUUGCUGGCGGUUCUGGGUGCGUGCUCUAUUAUAAAUAGGUUUACGCGUGUUGCUGGUGAAUUGUUUGGCCUGUUAAUUGCAAUGCUUUUUAUGCAGCAGGCCAUAAGGGGACUUGUGGAGGAAUUUGGCAUACCCGAGAGGGAAAAUCUUAAUCAGACUGCACUCCAACCUUCUUGGCGGUUUGGCAAUGGAAUGUUUGCACUAGUUCUGUCAUUUGGCCUGCUUUUAACUGCAUUGAGAAGCCGUAAAGCUAGAUCCUGGUGUUAUGGAACAGGUUGGCUACGGGGAUUAAUUACGGAUUAUGGAGUUCCAUUCAUGGUGCUUGUUUGGACUGCUGUAUCUUACAUACCAGUUAAUGAUGUCCCUAGAGGAAUCCCAAGACGAUUGUUCAGUCCAAACCCAUGGUCUCCUGGUGCAUACUCAAACUGGACAGUUAUCAAGGAGAUGAUGAAUGUACCUCCAUUAUAUAUAGUUGGAGCAUUUAUACCAGCAACUAUGAUCGCUGUGCUCUACUACUUUGAUCACAGUGUUGCAUCUCAACUUGCCCAACAGAAGGAAUUUAAUCUAAAGAAACCGGCUUCAUAUCAUUAUGACCUUCUUCUUCUGGGUUUUCUGGUCAUGUUAUGUGGGCUUAUUGGCAUUCCCCCUUCCAAUGGAGUAAUCCCACAAUCUCCUAUGCAUACAAAAAGCUUAGCUACUCUAAAACAUCAGCUUUUGCGGAAUAAGCUUGCAUCAACAGCUCGAAAUAGUAUACGCAAAAAUUCGAGUUUGAGUGAUUUAUACCAGAGCAUGAAAAAUACAUACAACGGAAUGCAGACUCCACUAGCCUACCAACUUCCAUCUGCUUUGGGACUAAAAGAGCUGAAGGAAUCCACAGUCCAAUUGGCCUCUAGUGCUGGCUACAUUGAUGCCCCUGUUGAUGAGACUCUUUUUGAUGUGGAGAAGGAUAUUGACGAUCUUCUGCCCAUUGAAGUAAAAGAGCAACGUCUCAGCAAUCUGCUUCAAUCAUUGAUGGCUGGUUGUUGUGUAGCUGCUAUGCCUGUUUUGAAGAAAAUCCCAACAUCAGUUCUUUGGGGUUAUUUUGCUUUCAUGGCGAUCGAAAGCUUGCCUGGAAAUCAAUUUUGGGAGAGGAUAUUGUUUCUUUUCACUGCUCCAAGUCGAAGAUACAAGGUGCUGGAGAAGAAUCAUGGAACCUUUCUUGAGAUUGUGCCUUUCAAAACAAUUGUGGCCUUCACAUUGUUCCAGACGGCUUACUUGCUUUUGUGUUUUGGCUUAACAUGGAUCCCGAUUGCUGGGGUGCUAUUCCCAUUGUUGAUCAUGCUUCUAGUCCCGGUGCGGCAGUAUUUUCUCCCCAAGUUUUUCAAAAGAGCUCACCUUCAAGACCUGGAUGCUGCAGAAUAUGAGGAAGCCCCUUCCAUUACUCUCAACCUGUCCCUUGAAGAUCUAGAUCUUCAAUCAAGAACCACCAACAUUGACGGUGGGGAGAUGCUUGACGAAAUUAUCACAAGAAGCCGUGGUGAGAUCCGCCAUACUCACAGUCCAAAAGCAUCAAGUUUGACCCCUACUCCUCCAGAAGGUAGCCCGCGGAUGUCACAGGUAGUGUUCAGCCCCCGUUUAAAUGGACUGAGAGGAGAAAGAAGCCCCCCGACCGAGCGGACAGGGACUUGAAACAACAGAGUCUUCUGGACGAAGCUCUCAUGGUUCUUCAAGCUAAAAUUGCGACUCUGGUGAGAUUAUUUUUGGCAAUGGUCUCGAGAGGUUAUGUACUAAGUUUAUGUGUAACGAAGUGUCAUCUUUUUCGGUGUGUUUCUAACUUUUCGUGAUAAUGUACGACGUUUGUCAAUGUUCUUGUCUCUCGAUUAUCUGGUGGGCAGAGAAGAUGAGUACAAUAAUGCAGGAGCUGUAAUAAUUUUCUCAUUCAAACUAAAUGCGAAAUAUGCAGUCUAUCUCAAUGUUUCCGAAAGUUCA